RNAcentral lists this microRNA (22 nucleotides) under Homo sapiens (human). RNAcentral describes it as "hsa-miR-5585-3p". Lineage: Eukaryota; Metazoa; Chordata; Mammalia; Primates; Hominidae. The record is from miRBase by way of RNAcentral.
CUGAAUAGCUGGGACUACAGGU